CUACGUGCCAGCAGCCGCGGUAAUACGGAAGGUCCAGGCGUUAUCCGGAUUUAUUGGGUUUAAAGGGAGUGUAGGCGGUCUGUUAAGCGUGUUGUGAAAUUUAGGUGCUCAACAUUUAACUUGCAGCGCGAACUGGCGGACUUGAGUGCACGCAACGUAUGCGGAAUUCAUGGUGUAGCGGUGAAAUGCUUAGAUAUCAUGACGAACUCCGAUUGCGAAGGCAGCGUACGGGAGUGUUACUGACGCUUAAGCUCGAAGGUGCGGGUAUCGAACAGGAUUAGAUACCCUGGUAGUCCGCACGGUAAACGAUGGAUGCCCGCUGUUAGCGCCUGGCGUUAGCGGCUAAGCGAAAGCAUUAAGCAUCCCACCUGGGGAGUACGCCGGCAACGGUGAAACUCAAAGGAAUUGACGGGGGCCCGCACAAGCGGAGGAACAUGUGGUUUAAUUCGAUGAUACGCGAGGAACCUUACCCGGGCU
RNAcentral lists this ribosomal RNA (477 nucleotides) under uncultured bacterium. Its description in RNAcentral is "bacterial SSU rRNA". It matches the Rfam family "Bacterial small subunit ribosomal RNA", at positions 501 to 981 of the family's 1533-position model. The record is from RNAcentral.